RNAcentral lists this ribosomal RNA (394 nucleotides) under uncultured bacterium. RNAcentral's name for it is "partial 16S ribosomal RNA". It matches the Rfam family "Bacterial small subunit ribosomal RNA", at positions 523 to 918 of the family's 1533-position model. The record is from RNAcentral.
AUACGUAGGGGGCAAGCGUUAUCCGGAAUUAUUGGGCGUAAAGCGUGCGUAGGUGGUUACCUAAGCGCAAGGUUUAAUCUUGAGGCUCAACCUCAUUCUGCCUUGCGAACUGGGCUACUUGAGUGCUGGAGGGGAAAGCGGAAUUCCUAGUGUAGCGGUGAAAUGCGUAGAUAUUAGGAAGAACACCGGUGGCGAAGGCGGCUUUCUGGACAGUAACUGACACUGAGGCACGAAAGCGUGGGGAGCAAACAGGAUUAGAUACCCUGGUAGUCCACGCCGUAAACGAUGAGCACUAGUUGUUGGGUCCGAAUGGAUUCAGUGACGCAGUUAACGCAAUAAGUGCUCCGCCUGGGGAGUACGGUGGCAACACUAAAACUCAAAUGAAUUGACGGGG